Molecule: long non-coding RNA, 845 nt
Organism: Helianthus annuus (common sunflower)
Lineage: Eukaryota; Viridiplantae; Streptophyta; Magnoliopsida; Asterales; Asteraceae
Exons: 2
Source: RefSeq, a predicted model, not a curated record
ACGAGAACAUAAGAGUUCUAUGUCAUCCGGAUCAUUUCUAUAGUAGUGUCUAUCUAUGGUAACUUGGUCUCAUCAUGAGAAACUGGUUAGCGCAGCAGGCGGCCUCGCUUUCCAUUUUCUUUUAAAAAAUCAAAAUAUGAACCUCUAGUUUCCGACAUGCUAAUGAGAGGGUUAGUUGAUGAGCAAGGGAGCUUGAAUGUAACAACGUGCACCCUACCAUGAAGUCGUGUGAUCGAGAAUGGUGGGAGACACAGGAACGACGUAACCAAGUUGUUUCAUCAGAUGAAACGGGACAGGUUGGUCCUCGUGUCGCAUGUCGCUGCCAGGUCAACUUUAUUAGAUCCCUAACAUAUGUACAUUAAUAUUUGUAUACCAUUGAUAUGUUUUAAAAUUUAAUAAUUUGGUUAUAAUUCUUCAUAGGUUAUAAGGAGUGUGAGUCUGUGGUUAGUUGAAUUGUAUUAACUUAUGUCCACUAACAAUCAGAAUAUCACAGUCGAACUUACUUUUACUAUGAUACUUCUCUUCCAAAAGCAAGUUAUGAGAUGAUUAGCUUUGGUCUGGUUCGUUUUGCAUUUGUGGCUCCUACAAUUUUAAUCAUUGUAUUGAAAAAACACUAAACUUUCGUUGUUUCAAUUUCAGGUAUUUGUGGCCAGUGCGAACUGACCCAUUUUGGCCUGAUUUUUCUCGAUAUAUAUAUGUUAUGACCCGUAUCAGUUUUUGGUGUUAGGUUUAGUUAUGUUUGAAUUAGUUGGAUUUUUAUCGUGUUGCAUUCGGUUAUGUUUGGAUGAUUUGGAUCUUUAGUAUGACUUUUUAAUAUUUAUUGUUAUGUUUGAAUUAUUAUGUUA